GCUAUUCGGAGUUCGAUUAAGCACAUGCGAGUCGCGAGUCUUAGGGACUCGGCGUACCGCUCAGUGGCACGUGGGUAACUCUGCCCUAUGCUGUGGGAAUAUACCUCGUGGAUAACUGAGAAUAAUGCCCACAUAGUCUCACCACGCCUGGAACUGGCGAGGUGGAUCAAAGCUCCAUGCGGCGUAGUGAUGGGCCUGCGGCGUAUGAGGUCGUAGGAUCGUGUAAUGUACCCUCUAACGAUCGACGCGUACGGGUGUUGGGAGACGUUGCACGGGAGAUGGCAUUCUGAG
Molecule: ribosomal RNA, 291 nt
Filed under: uncultured marine euryarchaeote
Lineage: Archaea; Methanobacteriati; Methanobacteriota
Description: partial 16S ribosomal RNA
Rfam family: Archaeal small subunit ribosomal RNA
Source: RNAcentral